RNAcentral lists this ribosomal RNA (384 nucleotides) under Orphnurgus glaber. Its description in RNAcentral is "partial 12S ribosomal RNA". The record is from RNAcentral. Lineage: Eukaryota; Metazoa; Echinodermata; Holothuroidea; Elasipodida; Deimatidae.
CGGGCGGUGUGUACACUUUUUAGAGCUUUUUUCAUAUACUUCUUCUUUAUUCUUAUAUUACUAUCGAAUCCUUUUUCUUUUACAAAUUUCAUAAUAAUUUCCUCUGUUAUAAAAUAGAGUAGCUCAUCUAUUCCUAAUCUAUGAGCUGCACCUUGAUCUGACGUAAGGGGUUAUUUUCCUUAAGGCUCACUUUCUUACAGAGGUGAACUGGCGACGAUGGUAUACAAGCUGAUAUAUUCUAAGAUUAGUAAGGUUUCUUGUGGGUUAUCAAUUUAAUGACAAGCUCCUCCGAAGAGAUCUAAAAAACCGCCAAGUUCUUUAAGUUUAAGCUAGGUUAGCCGUACUUCUCUGGUGUUUAAGUUUUACUGAAGGUAUAGUGGGGUA